Molecule: ribosomal RNA, 158 nt
Filed under: Hyphodontia sp. 3 KUC20130725-06
Lineage: Eukaryota; Fungi; Basidiomycota; Agaricomycetes; Hymenochaetales; Schizoporaceae
Description: 5.8S ribosomal RNA
Rfam family: 5.8S ribosomal RNA
About the family: 5.8S ribosomal RNA (5.8S rRNA) is a component of the large subunit of the eukaryotic ribosome. It is transcribed by RNA polymerase I as part of the 45S precursor that also contains 18S and 28S rRNA.
Source: RNAcentral
CAACUUUCAACAACGGAUCUCUUGGCUCUCGCAUCGAUGAAGAACGCAGCGAAAUGCGAUAAGUAAUGUGAAUUGCAGAAUUCAGUGAAUCAUCGAAUCUUUGAACGCACCUUGCACUCCUUGGUAUUCCGAGGAGUAUGCUUGUUUGAGAGUACUGU